RNAcentral lists this ribosomal RNA (951 nucleotides) under Salmonella enterica subsp. enterica. Its description in RNAcentral is "partial 23S ribosomal RNA". It matches the Rfam family "Bacterial large subunit ribosomal RNA", at positions 566 to 1350 of the family's 2925-position model. The record is from RNAcentral. Lineage: Bacteria; Pseudomonadati; Pseudomonadota; Gammaproteobacteria; Enterobacterales; Enterobacteriaceae.
CACCAAAGCAUUCUCUGGUGUUGAAGGCCCUGCAAAGCAGCAUCGCGGUGGCGGAGCGUCGUUUGCGACGCCCAACACACAAAACAAGCGGUGAAUGCUUUGGGGUGGGGUGACUGCGUACCUUUUGUAUAAUGGGUCAGCGACUUAUAUUCUGUAGCAAGGUUAACCGAAUAGGGGAGCCGGAGGGAAACCGAGUCUUAAUUGGGCGUUAAGUUGCAGGGUAUAGACCCGAAACCCGGUGAUCUAGCCAUGGGCAGGUUGAAGGUUGGGUAACACUAACUGGAGGACCGAACCGACUAAUGUUGAAAAAUUAGCGGAUGACCUGUGGCUGGGGGUGAAAGGCCAAUCAAACCGGGAGAUAGCUGGUUCUCCCCGAAAGCUAUUUAGGUAGCGCCUCGUGAAUUCAUCUCCGGGGGUAGAGCACUGUUUCGGCUAGGGGGCCAUCCCGGCUUACCAACCCGAUGCAAACUGCGAAUACCGGAGAAUGUUAUCACGGGAGACACACGGCGGGUGCUAACGUCCGUCGUGAAGAGGGAAACAACCCAGACCGCCAGCUAAGGUCCCAAAGUCAUGGUUAAGUGGGAAACGAUGUGGGAAGGCCCAGACAGCCAGGAUGUUGGCUUAGAAGCAGCCAUCAUUUAAAGAAAGCGUAAUAGCUCACUGGUCGAGUCGGCCUGCGCGGAAGAUGUAACGGGGCUAAACCAUGCACCGAAGCUGCGGCAGCGAACGUAUCACCCAAGACAACUUUACGGAGUUGACGAUUGACGGAGCGAAGCGACGUCAAAGCGUUCAUUAAAGUCGAGUUGGCUUAGGGAUACGUUCGUUGGGUAGGGGAGCGUUCUGUAAGCCUGUGAAGGUGUGUCGUGAGGCAUGCUGGAGGUAUCAGAAGUGCGAAUGCUGACAUAAGUAACGAUAAAGCGGGUGAAAAGCCCGCUCGCCGGAAGACCAAGG